CGGGUGAGUAAUGCUUGGGAAUCUGGCUUAUGGAGGGGGAUAACUACGGGAAACUGUAGCUAAUACCGCGUAGUAUCGGAAGAUGAAAGUGCGGGACCGUAAGGCCGCAUGCCAUGAGAUGAGCCCAAGUGGGAUUAGGUAGUUGGUGGGGUAAAGGCCUACCAAGCCUGCGAUCUCUAGCUGGUCUGAGAGGAUGGCCAGCCACACUGGAACUGAGACACGGUCCAG
Molecule: ribosomal RNA, 228 nt
Filed under: uncultured bacterium
Lineage: Bacteria
Also listed under: 1 other name
Description: partial 16S ribosomal RNA
Rfam family: Bacterial small subunit ribosomal RNA
Source: RNAcentral